UACGAAGGGGGCUAGCGUUGCUCGGAAUCACUGGGCGUAAAGGGCGCGUAGGCGGCCAUUCAAGUCGGAGGUGAAAGCCCAGGGCUCAACCCUGGAAUUGCCUUCGAUACUGUUUGGCUAGAGACCGGAAGAGGUAAGUGGAACUGCGAGUGUAGAGGUGAAAUUCGUAGAUAUUCGCAAGAACACCAGUGGCGAAGGCGGCUUACUGGGCCGGUUCUGACGCUGAGGCGCGAAAGCGUGGGGAGCAAACAGG
This 253-nucleotide ribosomal RNA is filed under the name uncultured bacterium. Its description in RNAcentral is "partial 16S ribosomal RNA". It matches the Rfam family "Bacterial small subunit ribosomal RNA", at positions 524 to 776 of the family's 1533-position model. The record is from RNAcentral.